RNAcentral lists this ribosomal RNA (253 nucleotides) under uncultured bacterium. RNAcentral describes it as "partial 16S ribosomal RNA". It matches the Rfam family "Bacterial small subunit ribosomal RNA", at positions 524 to 776 of the family's 1533-position model. The record is from RNAcentral.
UACGUAGGGGGCAAGCGUUGUCCGGAUUUAUUGGGCGUAAAGAGCGUGUAGGCGGCCAGGUAGGUCAGCUGUGAAAACUUGAGGCUCAACCUCGAGACGUCGGUUGAAACCAUCUGGCUAGAGUCCGGAAGAGGAGAGUGGAAUUCCCGGUGUAGCGGUGAAAUGCGCAGAUAUCAGGAGGAACACCGGUGGCGAAGGCGGGUCUCUGGGCCGAUACUGACGCUGAGGAGCGAAAGCGUGGGGAGCGAACAGG